UUUAAUUGAAGAGUUUGAUCAUGGCUCAGAUUGAACGCUGGCGGCAGGCCUAACACAUGCAAGUCGAGCGGAAACACAAGGGAGCUUGCUCCUGAGGUGUCGAGCGGCGGACGGGUGAGUAAUGCUUGGGAAACUGCCCAGUCGUGGGGGACAACCAUUGGAAACGAUGGCUAAUACCGCAUACGCCCUACGGGGGAAAGAAGGGGACCUUCGGGCCUUUCGCGAUUGGAUGUGCCCAAGUGGGAUUAGCUAGUUGGUGAGGUAAUGGCUCACCAAGGCGACGAUCCCUAGCUGGUUUGAGAGGAUGAUCAGCCACACUGGAACUGAGACACGGUCCAGACUCCUACGGGAGGCAGCAGUGGGGAAUAUUGCACAAUGGAGGAAACUCUGAUGCAGCCAUGCCGCGUGUAUGAAGAAGGCCUUCGGGUUGUAAAGUACUUUCAGCGAGGAGGAAAGGGAGUAGGUUAAUAACCUGCUUCUGUGACGUUACUCGCAGAAGAAGGACCGGCUAACUCCGUGCCAGCAGCCGCGGUAAUACGGAGGAUCCAAGCGUUAAUCGGAAUUACUGG
RNAcentral lists this ribosomal RNA (569 nucleotides) under Gammaproteobacteria bacterium MedPE. RNAcentral describes it as "bacterial SSU rRNA". It matches the Rfam family "Bacterial small subunit ribosomal RNA", at positions 1 to 557 of the family's 1533-position model. Lineage: Bacteria; Pseudomonadati; Pseudomonadota; Gammaproteobacteria. The record is from RNAcentral.